GGCUACGUAGCUUAGUUUUGGUUAGAGCACAGCACUCAUAACGCUGAGGUCAUGGGUUCAAUUCCCAUCGUAGCUA
RNAcentral lists this transfer RNA (76 nucleotides) under Enterobacteriaceae endosymbiont of Donacia crassipes. RNAcentral describes it as "tRNA-Met". It matches the Rfam family "tRNA". Rfam says of the family: Transfer RNA (tRNA) molecules are approximately 80 nucleotides in length. Their secondary structure includes four short double-helical elements and three loops (D, anti-codon, and T loops). RNAcentral also lists the same sequence under 1 other name. The record is from RNAcentral. Lineage: Bacteria; Pseudomonadati; Pseudomonadota; Gammaproteobacteria; Enterobacterales; Enterobacteriaceae.